Molecule: non-coding RNA, 83 nt
Organism: Ailuropoda melanoleuca (giant panda)
Lineage: Eukaryota; Metazoa; Chordata; Mammalia; Carnivora; Ursidae
Source: Rfam
GCCUGGGUGGCACAGCGGUUGAGCGUCUGCCUUCGGCUCAGGGCGUGAUCUCAGCGUUGUGGGAUCGAGCCCCACAUCAGGCU